GACGAACGCUGGCGGCGUGCCUAAUACAUGCAAGUUGAGCGAUGAAGAUUGGUGCUUGCACCAAUUUGAAGAGCAGCGAACGGGUGAGUAACGCGUGGGGAAUCUGCCUUUGAGCGGGGGACAACAUUUGGAAACGAAUGCUAAUACCGCAUAACAACUUUAAACAUAAGUUUUAAGUUUGAAAGAUGCAAUUGCAUCACUCAAAGAUGAUCCCGCGUUGUAUUAGCUAGUUGGUGAGGUAAAGGCUCACCAAGGCGAUGAUACAUAGCCGACCUGAGAGGGGGAUCGGCCACAUUGGGACUGAGACACGGCCCAAACUCCUACGGGAGGCAGCAGUAGGGAAUUUUCGGCAAUGGACGAAAGUCUGACCGAGCAACGCCGCGUGAGUGAAGAAGGUUUUCGGAUCGUAAAACUCUGUUGGUAGAGAAGAACGUUGGUGAGAGUGGAAAGCUCAUCAAGUGACGGUAACUACCCAGAAAGGGACGGCUAACUACGU
Molecule: ribosomal RNA, 496 nt
Filed under: uncultured bacterium
Lineage: Bacteria
Description: partial 16S ribosomal RNA
Rfam family: Bacterial small subunit ribosomal RNA
Source: RNAcentral